UUUCUUAUUCCCCCCCCCCCCCCCCAUUGAAAAAGAAAGAGAGAUAGAGGGCGCAAAGAAAUCAAAAGCGAGGACCUAGCGAGUUUUUUUAGCUCCUUGUCAUUUCUUUGAACUCUUCUCCACUCUUAAACCCACUCUCAUUUUCACCGACUCCCUAAUUCUCUCUCUGUUUUUUGUUAUUUUGUCUUUCAGAAGUGAAAAUUAGGGUUCCGAGCUAUCAAGAUUCUUGCGAUUCACUCUUUGAUCGGUUUUACUGCACUGCCAAAAAAGUUGGGCGUGCAGUGUAGGUUACGAGGCGUCCUUUUCAAGUUUUUCUUGUGAUUUCUAUUCGAUCAUGUCUGGGGAUUCUGUGGCGAACCUUUCCAAUGGAAAUGCCAAUACACAGCAGCCUGAUCCGCGGAAGACUUACCAAGUGGUUGUGGCUGCGACUAAGGACAUGGGUAUUGGGAAAGAUGGGAAGCUACCAUGGAAAUUGCCUUCGGAUCUUAAGUUUUUUAAGGAUUUGACCUUGACAACGAUGGAUUCUGGUAAGAAGAACGCGGUUAUCAUGGGAAGGAAGACGUGGGAAAGUAUUCCACUCGAGCAUAGGCCUCUUCCUGGUCGGCUUAAUGUUGUUUUGACACGUUCUGGGAGUUUUGAUAUUGCUACUGCCGAGAAUGUUGUGAUUUGUGGAAGCAUGGGUUCUGCAUUGGAGUUGUUGGCUGCGUCCCCUUAUUGUUUGUCGAUCGAGAAAGUGUUUGUUAUUGGAGGUGGUCAGAUAUUAAGAGAAUCUUUGAAUGCGCCUGGAUGUGAUGCUAUCCACAUUACAGAGAUUGAGACGGAUUUUGAUUGCGAUACUUUUAUCCCUGCAAUUGAUACCUCUGUAUUUCAGCCCUGGUACUCUUCUUUUCCCAAGGUGGAAAAUGACAUACGACAUUGCUUUACAACUUAUGUUCGAGUGAGAAGUUCUACAAUUGAAUCCCAUAGUCAAAACAAUGGUGAGAACUCUGAUGGUAAUUCAGAAAAUAGUAAAUUUGAGGUAAAGAAGUUCUCAUUCCUUCCCAAGAUGGUAUUUGAGAGACAUGAGGAGUAUUUAUAUCUCAGAAUGGUUCAAGACAUCAUCUCGGAUGGGAAUUUGAAGGAUGACAGGACAGGAACUGGUACUCUAUCAAAAUUUGGUUGCCAGAUGCGAUUCAAUCUGCGCAAAAAUUUUCCACUUCUUACAACAAAGAAAGUAUUUUGGCGAGGCGUUGUUGAAGAACUCCUGUGGUUCAUCAGUGGUUCAACAAGUGCCAAGGUCCUUCAGGAAAAGGGCAUUCACAUAUGGGAUGGCAAUGCAUCCAGAGAGUACCUUGACAGUAUUGGGUUAAAGGACAGAGAGGAAGGUGACUUGGGACCUGUAUAUGGGUUCCAGUGGAGGCAUUUUGGUGCUAGGUAUACUGAUAUGCAUGCUGACUACACUGGCCAGGGAUUUGACCAGUUGUUAGAUGUUAUUGACAAGAUUAAGAAUAAUCCAAAUGAUCGUCGGAUUAUAAUCUCAGCUUGGAAUCCUUCUGAUCUCAAAUUGAUGGCGCUUCCACCUUGCCACAUGUUUGCUCAGUUCUACGUAGCCAAUGGAGAAUUAUCAUGCCAAAUGUACCAGCGUUCUGCUGACAUGGGCCUUGGUGUGCCCUUCAACAUUGCAUCGUAUGCUCUCCUGACAUGCAUCAUUGCUCAUGUCUGUGAUCUCAUUCCAGGCGAUUUUGUUCAUGUGAUUGGUGAUGCUCAUGUUUAUCACACUCAUAUCAGGCCUCUGCAGGAGCAGCUUCGGAAACUUCCAAAGCCUUUUCCAAUUUUGAAGAUCAAUUCUGAGAAGAAAGACAUAGAUACUUUUGUGGCAGCUGAUUUCAAGCUCAUAGGGUAUGAUCCUCACCAGAAAAUUGAAAUGAAAAUGGCGGUAUAGAGCUCCGCUCCAUUAAAGAUUUAGUGUAAUUGGAGACUCUGAUCCCUCCUCGGCAAAACAUGCUCGUAGUUUUGAGGCACAGCUGUUGGAGGCCUAUCAUGAUAUAGAGUGUGAUACGAAGGAUCAAAUAAAAAUUUGGUAGUUUUGGGAUAUACUUCAAGCUUAUGCUGUCGUAGUGAGAAUCCUUUAGUUCCACUCCCAGUCGUGGUUCUAAGGUGAUUUAGGAUACCUGUUUUUCAGUUUUGGUUUCUCUUAAACUAGUGUUCUGUUUUUUACUGAUCCAUCGCCUAAUUUCAACAAUACUCUAUCGUACUUCUUUUGAAGUGGAUUGGAAUUUGGACGGGCUAUUUCCUUUUGCAGUGCUUUUGCCUUUCGUGAA
Molecule: RNA transcript, 2300 nt
Organism: Populus trichocarpa (black cottonwood)
Lineage: Eukaryota; Viridiplantae; Streptophyta; Magnoliopsida; Malpighiales; Salicaceae
Gene name: bifunctional dihydrofolate reductase-thymidylate synthase 1
Exons: 12
Source: RefSeq, a predicted model, not a curated record